AAGUGAAAGAUGUUGUACAUGAAAGAAAACCUACUCUUCCGUAAAAGACCGGACGUAGUCGAUAAUGGCGGGCUGGUACUCGAUAUUAUUUAUUAUAGACUUCCUUUACAGUCGAUAGGUUGCUCAAACCUUUUAAAAAUUUCAAUGACCGGCUUGUUAAUCACAUUAGCGACGGUCAUAGAGUGCACGAAGUCCAUGUGGUGCCAGGACGGCGUGGAGAUCCGAUGCAUCACCGCCUCCGGCAAACUGGUGGCGAAGUUUUCAACAUCCUCCUUUGCGGCGGAUAGGUCAUCAUCGCUAUAAAAUAUGUGGACUGGCGUCAGGGGGCGGACGUUAUGUAGCGGGUAGUCGGGAGGUGUGAGGCUCCUGUAGUUGAUCAAGUUCCUCAGGAUCCCGAAAUCGAAUGGUCUGAACCUGCCGCUGUCCGUGAGCUGGAUGAAGUGCUUGGGCUGGCGGGAAGAAACUCCCGCUGGAAGCGUGGCGGCAAUCAGAGGAAUCGCACUCUGGAAAUGUUAAUGUUCAGAAUAAAUACAAUAUAUAUUUUGACCAUUCG
Molecule: non-coding RNA, 553 nt
Organism: Drosophila melanogaster (fruit fly)
Lineage: Eukaryota; Metazoa; Arthropoda; Insecta; Diptera; Drosophilidae
Source: Ensembl